This 864-nucleotide long non-coding RNA is filed under the name Bos taurus (domestic cattle). RNAcentral's name for it is "long non-coding RNA NONBTAT022514". The record is from RNAcentral. Lineage: Eukaryota; Metazoa; Chordata; Mammalia; Artiodactyla; Bovidae.
AAUUUGACUUUUUAUUAAUCUACAGUACUGUCUGGGCUUCUUGAGUUUUCAGUCUUAGAUCUAAUCUUAUGACCUUGAGCAAACUGUGUUCUUCUCUCUAAGCCCUGCUCUUUCAUUUGUGAAAUUAAUAUGAAUCUAUCAAUUCAUUGUCUUCCAAAACUCACAUAUCUUGAGUUUUGCAGUGUUUUUUUGUGUGUCUUCACUUUUAAAGGUGGUAACUGCAUUCAGUUCAGUUUCUUUGGUCCAUUGAUGAUUGAGCUUACAUAUAGUAUGCUAAUUUAAAAAAUAAACCAUACAAAGAAAACCAUGGGGUUUUAUAAAUAUGAAUCUAUAAGGGAUUAAACAAGAUUCAAAACACAGUAGUCAUCAAUAAAUUUUAUGAUAAUUAUUCCUUAAUAUGAAUCAUAUUUCGCUCUCAAUUUCUUCUAAAAUUCUCUCUUCACUCAUGGGCCAAAGUAAGAGAAAAGAAAACACAAUUAUGUACUUCACUGAAUUCUAAAGAGUACACUAUCCUCACCUUUCCAUGUAAUUUUAAAAAAAGAGGGUAAUCAUUCUAAUCUUAAUGUGAACAUUUGGUAGUAAUACUUUAGUCUAUUAUGGCAUUUAACUGGGUUGGAAUCACAAAACUAUUUUUCCCUCUCUCUCUUUUAAGGAACUGGCCUACUUCUACCCUGAGGUACAUGUAUUUUCUACCUGAAUAUAUAAAGAAUUACAUUAAUACACAGAAACAAAUAAAAGGCCAUGAUAGAUUAACAGAGGUACCUAUUCCAAAAUUUCAGAAAAGAAAUAAUGUUUUUGCACCAAAACCUUAUAGUUAUGAAGGGGCACUGGGCUAGGAAUUAGAGAAUUCUUUUCUCUUUAUUC